Molecule: ribosomal RNA, 484 nt
Filed under: uncultured bacterium
Lineage: Bacteria
Description: partial 16S ribosomal RNA
Rfam family: Bacterial small subunit ribosomal RNA
Source: RNAcentral
AUUGAACGCUGGCGGCAGGCCUAACACAUGCAAGUCGAGCGGAUGAAGGGAGCUUGCUCCUGGAUUCAGCGGCGGACGGGUGAGUAAUGCCUAGGAAUCUGCCUGGUAGUGGGGGAUAACGUCCGGAAACGGGCGCUAAUACUGCAUACGUCCUGAGGGAGAAAGUGGGGGAUCUUCGGACCUCACGCUAUCAGAUGAGCCUAGGUCGGAUUAGCUAGCUGGUGGGGUAAAGGCCUACCAAGGCGACGAUCCGUAACUGGUCUGAGAGGAUGAUCAGUCACACUGGAACUGAGACACGGUCCAGACUCCUACGGGAGGCAGCAGUGGGGAAUAUUGGACAAUGGGCGAAAGCCUGAUCCAGCCAUGCCGCGUGUGUGAAGAAGGUCUUCGGAUUGUAAAGCACUUUAAGUUGGGAGGAAGGGCAGUAAGUUAAUACCUUGCUGUUUUGACGUUACCAACAGAAUAAGCACCGGCUAACUUCGUG